AAUGUCGUAACAAGGUUUCCGUAGGUGAACCUGCGGAAGGAUCAUUACUGAGAGAGGGGGCCUUCGCGCUCCCGGGGGUUCUCGGCCCCAAAGCUCUUCACCCAUUGUUAUCUACCUCUGUUGCUUUGGGCGGGCCUUGGGGCUUCGCCCUGCGCCGGCUUUCGGGACUAGUGAGCGCUCGUCAGUGGCCCAAUUAAAUUCCGUCUAUCCGGUAUUAUCAGAUCGAAAGCCACAACUAACAAAAAG
RNAcentral lists this unclassified non-coding RNA (246 nucleotides) under plant metagenome. Its description in RNAcentral is "partial contains small subunit ribosomal RNA and internal transcribed spacer 1". The stretch from base 1 to 47 matches the Rfam family "Eukaryotic small subunit ribosomal RNA", at positions 1785 to 1831 of the family's 1831-position model. The record is from RNAcentral.